CAGAGUUUGAUCCUGGCUCAGGACGAACGCUGGCGGCGUACUUAACACAUGCAAGUCGAACGUGAUUUNUGUGGAAAUUCUUUCGGGAAUGGAAAUGAAAUGAAAGUGGCGAACGGGUGAGUAACACGUGAGCAACCUACCUUACACAGUGGGAUAGCCGUUGGAAACGACGAUUAAUACCGCAUGAGACCACAGAAUCGCAUGAUAUAGGGGUCAAAGAUUUAUCGGUGUAAGAAGGGCUCGCGUCUGAUUAGCUAGUUGGAAGGGUAAAGGCCUACCAAGGCGACGAUCAGUAGCCGGUCUGAGAGGAUGAACGGCCACAU
RNAcentral lists this ribosomal RNA (323 nucleotides) under Parvimonas micra. RNAcentral describes it as "bacterial SSU rRNA". It matches the Rfam family "Bacterial small subunit ribosomal RNA", at positions 8 to 313 of the family's 1533-position model. Lineage: Bacteria; Bacillati; Bacillota; Tissierellia; Tissierellales; Peptoniphilaceae. The record is from RNAcentral.